GAUGAACGCUGGCGGCGUGCUUAACACAUGCAAGUCAAACGAAGCACUUUAUUUGAUUUCCUUCGGGACUGAUUAUUUUGUGGCUGAGUGGCGGACGGGUGAGUAACGCGUGGGUAACCUGCCUUGUACAGGGGGAUAACAGUUGGAAACGGCUGCUAAUACCGCAUAAGCGCACAGCAUCGCAUGAUGCAGUGUGAAAAACUCCGGUGGUAUAAGAUGGACCCGCGUUGGAUUAGCUAGUUGGUGAGGUAACGGCCCACCAAGGCGACGAUCCAUAGCCGACCUGAGAGGGUGACCGGCCACAUUGGGACUGAGACACGGCCCAAACUCCUACGGGAGGCAGCAGUGGGGAAUAUUGCACAAUGGGCGAAAGCCUGAUGCAGCGACGCCGCGUGAGCGAAGAAGUAUUUCGGUAUGUAAAGCUCUAUCAGCAGGGAAGAUAAUGACGGUACCUGACUAAGAAGCACCGGCUAAAUACGUG
RNAcentral lists this ribosomal RNA (481 nucleotides) under uncultured bacterium. Its description in RNAcentral is "partial 16S ribosomal RNA". It matches the Rfam family "Bacterial small subunit ribosomal RNA", at positions 28 to 507 of the family's 1533-position model. The record is from RNAcentral.